This is a long non-coding RNA of Hippocampus comes (tiger tail seahorse), 118 nucleotides long. RefSeq lists it as uncharacterized. The transcript has 3 exons. Lineage: Eukaryota; Metazoa; Chordata; Actinopteri; Syngnathiformes; Syngnathidae. The record is from RefSeq and is a predicted model, not a curated record.
UCGCCACUGAAGGCAGGGGUAUCAAACUCAUUUUUGUUGUGGGCCACAUUGAAGUUACUAUUUCCCUUGGGGGGGCCGUUAUGACUGUGAAACCAUAUAAAAGAGUCAAGAAGAAUAU